CGCCUCCCGCGCGCCGGUAGAUUGGUUGUUUCAUUAUGGAUGGAGGGGAUGAUGGUAACCUUAUUAUCAAAAAGAGGUUUGUGUCUGAGGCAGAACUAGAUGAACGGCGCAAAAGGAGGCAAGAAGACUGGGAGAAAGUUCCAAAACCUGAAGAUCCAGAAGAAUGUCCAGAGGAGGUUUGUGACCCUCGCUCUCUGUAUGAAAGACUACAGGAACAGAAGGACAGGAAACAGCAGGACUAUGAGGAACAGUUCAAAUUCAAAAACAUGGUAAGAGGCUUAGAUGAAGAUGAGACCAACUUCCUUGAUGAGGUUUCUCGACAGCAGGAACUAAUAGAAAAACAACGAAGAGAAGAGGAACUGAAAGAACUGAAGGAAUACAGAAAUAACCUCAAGAAGGUUGGAAUUUCUCAAGAGAACAAGAAGGAAGUGGAAAAGAAACUGACUGUGAAGCCCAUAGAAACCAAGAACAAGUUCUCCCAGGCAAAGCUGUUGGCAGGAGCUGUGAAGCAUAAGAGCUCAGAGAGUGGCCACAGUGUGAAAAGACUGAAACCGGACCCUGAGCCAGAUGACAAGAAUCAAGAGCCCUCAUCCUGCAAGUCUCUCGGAAACACUUCCCUGAGUGGCCCCUCCAUCCACUGCCCCUCUGCUGCAGUCUGUAUCGGCAUCCUCCCGGGCCUGGGCGCCUACUCUGGGAGCAGCGACUCCGAGUCCAGCUCAGACAGCGAAGGCACCAUCAAUGCCACCGGAAAGAUUGUCUCCUCCAUCUUCCGAACCAACACUUUCCUCGAGGCCCCCUAGUUUCUCUGUCCUUACACAGGGAGCUCCUCCCCAAGGGUAGAUCGGACCGUUCAUGCUGCCUUCGGGCAUUACAUCCCUCAAAAAAAAAAAUAAACUCCUUUGCCUGCAUCCUGUGCACAACAUGACGUUUUUAACCAAUCUAAUCUAAAAAUGUGCCAGAAUCCACCUGUGGCCCGAAUCGUGUUUGGUUUCUCUUUCUACUGCAGUGCACAUGAGCAAACCUGUCCCGCUGCCACUUUCCUCACUGAUACUGGGAGGAGGGCAAGGCCCAGCUGAAGUUCCACUAAAAAUGCCCUAGGAGAAUAGGCACCGGCUGGCUUGCCAAAGGGUUUGGGUUUUAUUGCUUUCUGUUGUUUUCUUUUCCCGACAGCACAAAGAAGUAAGGGCAGUUAUUGGACAGGUGUUAUUUAAACAUUCUAUUGUAGGUGAAUGUGUUGUUUGGUUCUACUGCAUUGUGGAGCAUGCGGGGAAAGAGAACUGACCCAGGGGAUGAAAUGGAGCCCUUCCCUGGAACUAACCAGUCCUUGAUGUUGUGUGACUAAGUAAAGAUGAUAAACCCCAUCUGCUGGGGGUGUCACUUCACACUCGGCAUGCAUUGUGAAAGCUUUCCAUACCCUUGGCCAUUCUCUCUCCCCUCUUUAUCCAACCCCAUUUAUGCAGGAAGGGACUGCUAACAAGAAAGCUUCCAUCUCAAACCUUUUCUCUGCCUGGGAAAUUAUUUUAUGUUUGUUUUUGAAAUAAAGGAUUUAGUUUAAGAUUCUAAAUUUUAGAGAAA
Rhinopithecus roxellana (golden snub-nosed monkey) is the source of this 1575-nucleotide RNA transcript. It is a transcript of the gene named PSME3-interacting protein pseudogene, with no coding region annotated. The record is from RefSeq and is a predicted model, not a curated record. NCBI's taxonomy places the organism in Eukaryota, Metazoa, Chordata, Mammalia, Primates, Cercopithecidae. The transcript has a single exon.